RNAcentral lists this ribosomal RNA (301 nucleotides) under uncultured bacterium. Its description in RNAcentral is "partial 16S ribosomal RNA". It matches the Rfam family "Bacterial small subunit ribosomal RNA", at positions 509 to 807 of the family's 1533-position model. The record is from RNAcentral.
CAGUCGCCGCGGUAAUACGGAGGAUCCAAGCGUUAUCCGGAAUCAUUGGGUUUAAAGGGUCCGUAGUCGGUCUUGUAAGUCAGUGGUGAAAGCCCAUCGCUCAACGGUGGAACGGCCAUUGAUACUGCAGGACUUGAAUUAUUGGGAAGUAACUAGAAUAUGUAGUGUAGCGGUGAAAUGCUUAGAGAUUACAUGGAAUACCAAUUGCGAAGGCAGGUUACUACCAAUUGAUUGACGCUGAUGGACGAAAGUGUGGGUAGCGAACAGGAUUAGAUACCCCUGUAGUCCCUGUCUCUUAUAC